CAGUAGCCGCGGGAAUACGAAGGGUGCAAGCGUUAAUCGGAAUUACUGGGCGUAAAGCGUGCGUAGGCGGUGAGUUAAGUCUGCUGUGAAAUCCCCGGGCUCAACCUGGGAACUGCAUUUGUGACUGGCAAGCUAGAGUGUGGCAGAGGGGGGUGGAAUUCCGCGUGUAGCAGUGAAAUGCGUAGAUAUGCGGAGGAACACCGAUGGCGAAGGCAGCCCCCUGGGCCAACACUGACGCUCAUGCGCGAAAGCGUGGGGAGCAAGCAGGAUUAGAUACCCCCGUAGUCCCUGUCUCUUAUAC
Molecule: ribosomal RNA, 301 nt
Filed under: uncultured bacterium
Lineage: Bacteria
Description: partial 16S ribosomal RNA
Rfam family: Bacterial small subunit ribosomal RNA
Source: RNAcentral